This 276-nucleotide unclassified non-coding RNA is filed under the name sea anemone metagenome. Its description in RNAcentral is "partial contains small subunit ribosomal RNA and internal transcribed spacer 1". The stretch from base 1 to 154 matches the Rfam family "Eukaryotic small subunit ribosomal RNA", at positions 1678 to 1831 of the family's 1831-position model. The record is from RNAcentral.
GCACCUACCGAUUGAAUGGUUCGGUGAAAAUCUCGGACUGCGGCUUGGAUGCCUUCGGGCAACCAAGUUGUGGAAAGUUGUUUAAACCUCAUCAUUUAGAGGAAGGUGAAGUCGUAACAAGGUUUCCGUAGGUGAACCUGCAGAAGGAUCAAGAUCGGAAGAGAGACGUGUGGGGAGAGAGUGUAGAUCUCGGUGGGCGCCGGAUCAUUCAAAAAAAAAAAAAGAACAAGAACAGAAGGAAACGAUGGCAAGACGACAGAAGAAAUGAAGUGAUUG